GCCCCGUUAGCGAAAUGGCAGAGCGUCUGACUUAAACCCAGAGUCUUUUACAGGUUCGAGUCCUGUACGGGGCA
Molecule: transfer RNA, 74 nt
Filed under: Caudoviricetes sp.
Lineage: Duplodnaviria; Heunggongvirae; Uroviricota; Caudoviricetes
Description: tRNA-Leu
Rfam family: tRNA
About the family: Transfer RNA (tRNA) molecules are approximately 80 nucleotides in length. Their secondary structure includes four short double-helical elements and three loops (D, anti-codon, and T loops). Further hydrogen bonds mediate the characteristic L-shaped molecular structure. tRNAs have two regions of fundamental functional importance: the anti-codon, which is responsible for specific mRNA codon recognition, and the 3' end, to which the tRNAs corresponding amino acid is attached (by aminoacyl-tRNA synthetases). tRNAs cope with the degeneracy of the genetic code in two manners: having more than one tRNA (with a specific anti-codon) for a particular amino acid; and 'wobble' base-pairing, i.e. permitting non-standard base-pairing at the 3rd anti-codon position.
Source: RNAcentral